GGAGGAGGAGGAGGAGGAGAGGGAGGAGGCGGCGGCUCCUCUGUAUCCGGGUCACGCGGGAGCCGCCUCCAGCGGGACCGGGACCGCGACCGGGAGCGGGAACGGAGCGGGAACGGGAUUCGAACCGGGCUCGGAUUUGGGAUUUUUGGGGAUCCCCCAAAUUUGGGGUGAAGAUGCAGGAGAAUUACGAGAACGUCAUUUCCUUGGCCGAGGAGAUCGCCAUCAGCUGGCCGCGGAUCACCGCCUUCGCCGAAUCGCACCG
Molecule: long non-coding RNA, 262 nt
Organism: Passer domesticus (house sparrow)
Lineage: Eukaryota; Metazoa; Chordata; Aves; Passeriformes; Passeridae
Exons: 3
Source: RefSeq, a predicted model, not a curated record